AUGCGUACCGCAUGUGUACAGAUUGAUCGCAAUUGGCAGUUACAAGAUUCACUCCCAUGUGUGAGAAUGUACAUGAUUUCCUCCUUGUGUAACUCAAAACAGUUACAAGUUGUCGUGCUCGAUGACCUGCGCCCCCCUCCACUCCUCGCCGGGGCCAACGACGACGGGCACGAGGAUGGACGCCGGCCCGGUGCAGAGGAAGUAGUCGUUGCCGAACUUCUCGUACAAUCCUCCCGGGCUGCUCAGGUACAGGUCCUCGAACCCCAUCCUCACAAGCCUGAACCCGAGCCCGCUAGACUGUCCAAGCAAAUCACAAAGCAUAUCAUCACUGAGCAAUGCGGCUGA
Molecule: ribosomal RNA, 345 nt
Filed under: Triticum aestivum (bread wheat)
Lineage: Eukaryota; Viridiplantae; Streptophyta; Magnoliopsida; Poales; Poaceae
Description: partial small subunit ribosomal RNA
Source: RNAcentral